CUACGUCCAUUUCACGUUGAAACACCGGUUUUCAUAAGAUCACCGAAGUUAAGCAACAUUGAGACUGAUCAUUAUUGGUGACCGCUUGGGAAUACCAGGUGCUGUAAG
Molecule: non-coding RNA, 108 nt
Organism: Acanthosepion pharaonis
Lineage: Eukaryota; Metazoa; Mollusca; Cephalopoda; Sepiida; Sepiidae
Source: the annotation of a GenBank genome assembly